Molecule: ribosomal RNA, 274 nt
Filed under: uncultured bacterium
Lineage: Bacteria
Description: partial 16S ribosomal RNA
Rfam family: Bacterial small subunit ribosomal RNA
Source: RNAcentral
AUACGGAGGGUGCAAGCGUUAAUCGGAAUUACUGGGCGUAAAGCGCGCGUAGGCGGUUUGUUAAGUCAGAUGUGAAAGCCCCAGGCUCAACCUGGGAACUGCAUUUGAAACUGGCAGGCUAGAGUGUGGUAGAGGGAAGUGGAAUUUAAGGUGUAGCGGUGAAAUGCGUAGAUAUCUGAAGGAACAUCAGUGGCGAAGGCGACUUCCUGGACCAACACUGACGCUGAGGUGCGAAAGCGUGGGUAGCAAACAGGAUUAGAAACCCUAGUAGUCC